CAGUCGCCGCGGUAAAACGAGGGGAGCUAGCGUUGUUCGGAAUUACUGGGCGUAAAGCGCGCGUAGGCGGCUUUUUAAGUCAGAGGUGAAAGCCCGGGGCUCAACCCCGGAAUUGCCUUUGAAACUGGAAAGCUAGAAUCUUGGAGAGGUCAGUGGAAUUCCGAGUGUAGAGGUGAAAUUCGUAGAUAUUCGGAAGAACACCAGUGGCGAAGGCGACUGACUGGACAAGUAUUGACGCUGAGGUGCGAAAGCGUGGGGAGCAAACAGGAUUAGAUACCCCUGUAGUCCCUGUCUCUUAUAC
RNAcentral lists this ribosomal RNA (301 nucleotides) under uncultured bacterium. RNAcentral's name for it is "partial 16S ribosomal RNA". It matches the Rfam family "Bacterial small subunit ribosomal RNA", at positions 509 to 807 of the family's 1533-position model. The record is from RNAcentral.